RNAcentral lists this ribosomal RNA (849 nucleotides) under uncultured Bacteroidota bacterium. RNAcentral describes it as "bacterial SSU rRNA". It matches the Rfam family "Bacterial small subunit ribosomal RNA", at positions 9 to 855 of the family's 1533-position model. The record is from RNAcentral. Lineage: Bacteria; Pseudomonadati; Bacteroidota.
GAGUUUGAUCCUGGCUCAGGAUGAACGCUAGCGGCAGGCCUAACACAUGCAAGUCGAACGGUAACAGAUCCAGCUUGCUAGAUGCUGACGAGUGGCGCACGGGUGCGUAACGCGUAUACAAUCUACCUUCAACUGAGGGAUAGCCCAGAGAAAUUUGGAUUAAUACCUCAUAGUAUUAAAAAAAGGCAUCUUUUUAUAAUUAAAACUCCGGUGGUUAAAGAUGAGUAUGCGUCCUAUUAGCUUGUUGGUAAGGUAAAAGCUUACCAAGGCUACGAUAGGUAGGGGGCCUGAVAGGUGAUCCCCCACACUGGUACUGAGACACGGACCAGACUCCUACGGGAGGCAGCAGUGAGGAAUAUUGCACAAUGGAGGAAACUCUGAUGCAGCCAUGCCGCGUGCAGGAUGAAUGCCCUAUGGGUUGUAAACUGCUUUUAUACAAGAAGAAACCUCGGUACGUGUACCGACUUGACGGUAUUGUAUGAAUAAGCACCGGCUAACUCCGUGCCAGCAGCCGCGGUAAUACGGAGGGUGCAAGCGUUAUCCGGAUUUAUUAGGUUUAAAGGGUCCGCAGCGGGAAUAUUAAGUCAGUGGUGAAAGCCUACAGCUCAACUGUAGAACUGCCAUUGAAACUGUUAUUCUUGAGUAUGGAUGAAGUGGGCGGAAUAUGUCAUGUAGCGGUGAAAUGCAUAGAUAUGACAUGGAACACCAAUUGCGAAGGCAGCUCACUAAACCAUUACUGACGCUCAUGGACGAAAGCGUGGGGAGCGAACAGGAUAGAUACCCUGGUAGUCCACGCCGUAAACGAUGAUUCACUAGAUGUUGGCGAUAUAAUGUCAGCGKUCMAGGGAA